CCGAGUUUACAACUCCCAAACCCCUGUGAACUAUACCUUUACGUUGCCUCUGGCGGGCCGCCGAAGCGGACGCCAGAGGACCCAAACUCUUGUAUUUGAAUUGAGUAUUCUCUGAGUGAUACAAGCAAUAAAUUA
RNAcentral lists this unclassified non-coding RNA (135 nucleotides) under uncultured Gliocladiopsis. Its description in RNAcentral is "sequence contains ITS1". The record is from RNAcentral. Lineage: Eukaryota; Fungi; Ascomycota; Sordariomycetes; Hypocreales; Nectriaceae.